RNAcentral lists this ribosomal RNA (253 nucleotides) under uncultured bacterium. RNAcentral's name for it is "partial 16S ribosomal RNA". It matches the Rfam family "Bacterial small subunit ribosomal RNA", at positions 524 to 776 of the family's 1533-position model. The record is from RNAcentral.
AACGUAGGACGCAAGCGUUAUCCGGAGUUACUGGGCGUAAAGGGCGUGUAGGCGGCGCUGCAAGUUCGUCGUGAAAGACCCCGGCUCAACCGGGGGAGGUCGAGGGAGACUGCGGCGCUGGAGGACGGUAGAGGGACAGGGAAUUCCGGGUGUAGUGGUGAAAUGCGUAGAGAUCCGGAGGAACACCAGUGGCGAAGGCGGUUGCCUGGAGCUUUGCUGACGCUGAGGCGCGAAAGCGUGGGGAGCGAUCCGG